Molecule: ribosomal RNA, 373 nt
Filed under: Nematoda sp.
Lineage: Eukaryota; Metazoa; Nematoda
Description: bacterial SSU rRNA
Rfam family: Eukaryotic small subunit ribosomal RNA
Source: RNAcentral
CUGAAUAACUGGAAUGAUCACAAGAACCUAGCCUACUCGACAUACUGUUAAAAUUCUGCUCUAUCAAAAUUCGAUGGUAAUUUAUUUCCGUGUACGGGUUAUCACAUUCUGACCAAAAUUUCGGGUUCAUUGCGGAGAGGUUGCCCGAGAAAGGGCUACCACAUCCAAGGAAGGCAGCAGGCGCGCAAAUUACCCACUCUCACCCCGAGGAGGUAGUGAUGAAAAAUAACUAGACGGUUCUCUAUGAGGCCCGUCAUCGGAAUGGGUACAAUUUAAACCCUUUAACGAGGAUCUAUUGGAGGGCAAGUCUGGUGCCAGCAGCCGCGGUAAUUCCAGCUCCAAUAGCAUAUACCAAUUCUGUUGCUGUUAAAAA